Molecule: RNA transcript, 4660 nt
Organism: Syngnathoides biaculeatus (alligator pipefish)
Lineage: Eukaryota; Metazoa; Chordata; Actinopteri; Syngnathiformes; Syngnathidae
Gene: micu2
Gene name: mitochondrial calcium uptake 2
Exons: 13
Source: RefSeq, a predicted model, not a curated record
UUGCCGACUGCUGGGCUAGAUGGACUAGAUGGACUCCCUGGAGGUGUCUCAUUUACCAAAAUCUAGAAUAUCACAGCAUUUAAGCAAGGGGUGUGCAGCGCUAUAACAAUUACAACAAGACAACUUUUUGUUAUGUUAUGUAUUGAUAGCACACGCUUUGACGUUGAUUAAAAUAAAGUACACCUCACAAAAAUCGGACGCGAGAUAAGCAAUUUACGAUGUAUUUAUUGUUGGGGAGGGUUGAUGGAAACGUCACCAACCUCUCCAACAUGGCCGCCUCACAGCUACGUCCGAUCUAGUUGAUAAAUCUAUCCACGGCGGCGGAACUUCGGAAAGGGGGUUGCUUUUGUGGAGGAAAAUGGCCUUCGUUGGGAAAAUAGCCUUCUUUUUACGAAGUGCCGCCAAAGGCUCGCGGUAUUUGCAAAGUUUAACAUGGCGCCCCGUUGUGAUCUGCGGCACAGUAGGGCUCGCGACAGGCUUUUUAGGGUAUUCUUACCAAUGUAACGUGAAGAGUGGGAGUAUUCCUCUCGUCGUCGUUCACGCCGAAGACCAAAAGGAGUCUGCUGCUCCCCAAAUGUCUGCCAGAAAGCGGCGUUUCAUCCAGUUUGCCUCAAUUGUAUACAAAGAGGAGCCCUACAUGACGCCUAGAGACUUCCUAUUCUCUGUGAUGCUGGAGAACGUUGAUCGCAAACUGCAGAAGAGAGUUCUCAAGACGAAAGAAAUUGAUCAGAUGUUGGUUGCUGCUUCCAAAGCUCAGCCUGGCAAUAAUUUGUUCAGACUUUGGGGUGACAACGGUUUGAUAUCCUACACAGAAUACCUGUUCUUGCUGACUAUUCUCACAAAGCCACGGACAGGAUUUCGUAUAGCUUUCAAAAUGCUCGACGUUGAUGGUAAUGAGCAAGUGGACAAAAGGGAGUUUUUGAAGCUCAAGAACAUUGGGAAAAGUAGAAAGAGAAUUUCAAAAGACAUCACGGAGAGAUCCGUUGAAGAAGGCGAGCAUGUGAACACGACGUUGCAGGCAUACUUCUUUGGAAAGAGUGGACAAAACAAGUUGCGGUAUCAAGAAUUCCACAAGUUCAUGGAGGAUUUACAAGCUGAGGUCCAGGAGAUGGAGUUCCUGCAGUUCUCCAAAGGAAUGGACACCAUGCGGCGUGAGGACUUUGCUGAGUGGCUUCUCCAUUACACCAAUGAGGAAGACAAUGAGAUUUACUGGGAAAACAUGCGAAAGAGGAUUCCGGCUGGCCAGAGCAUCACGUUUGAGGAGUUCAAAGCCUUCUGCCUAUUCACGAACAAUCUGGAGGAUUUUGCAUUUUCUAUGAAGAUGAUCAGUGAAGCUAACCGACCCAUAGGAAUGGCCCAGUUCAAGCGGGCCGUGAGGAUAGCCACAGGCCAUGAUCUGUCCGACAACGUGUUGGACACGGUGUUUAAACUCUUCGACUUGGACGGGGACAACUGCCUGAGCCACAAGGAGUUCAUUGGGGUGAUGAAAGACCGAGUCCUGCGGGGUCUCAAGGUGCAUCCACAGAAUGGAUUCUCUGGCUACUGGAAGUGUGUGAAGCAGGAGACCCUGAAAGGAGCUCAGGAAGCACUUGGAAACGGCAGAUGUCCCAUCUGAGUGUGGGGUCCACCAAGGACACAUCUCCGCCCCACCACACUUCCACCAGAGUGACGGACGGCAUCGUCAGCGGGAAUACGAGCACCGGACGAUUCCAUGUUAGCAAGCUGUAGAGCUCGUGCGCGUGACGUCACGGCGCCAUAUUGUCCAUCAAGCAGCAUUGCGCAACAUUGUGGGAGACGGAAUAUACACCACGCCGGAGACUUGUUGGUCGUCACAACCGAUGAGACGGAUCUUCAAAAAGAGGUCAUUCUACGGAAUACCAGCUGAAAAGAUGAGAAAACAUCAAUGGAUUUGGGCAAUGAUACGUGACGGCUGGUGCCCAAACAAAUACACCCGCCUUUGUAGUAGGAAUUCUUCUUCGCGAUCUCAAAUAACCAAGAAGGAUUUAUGAUGCCAUGUUUGCUCAUUUGAGAACGAUGCGUAUUUUAAAAAAUAAAUAAAUAAACCGUGUGCCACGGAGAGGUUUACGGAGGUAAGCGUGUGGUAGCAAUACCCUUCCGUGUACGGAGGCUACAUUUUUUUUUCCAAUCAUAGUUAAUGAAUGCUAGUUUGUGUAAAACCAAGGGUCAUUUAUUUAAAUAUCGGUAUUUGUGCUGAAUACUAGCUCAAAAGAUCGAUGGGUUUCGCCAAAGGUUAACGUGUAGCCGAACGCAUUUCCGCAUUCGCGAGCCAUCUCCCCGUUGGGAACAGAUCCAGCACCAAAGUAUUUCUGUGUCCAGACUCUGAUACACUUUUGUACUUUUCUCGACGACUUACUCACCAGAUCCGUGUGUAGAUCCAGUUGGCCGAGACAAGCGGAAGCAAAUUAACAGUCCAAUUUCUUAACGGCGAAAACAUCCGACUUCGGCAUUAAAUUUGGGUCCUCGAUGCCAAGUGUCUCUCAUUUUUCCACGUAUAUUCAUUUAUUAUCACCUUCUAAAUGUUUAACGGUAUCGGACAAAACUCUGGAUGUUGUGCUGUAGGACGUAUUUUCAUUUCGUCUCGACAGAAUUAACUUGCAACAACGCUUUGUUUGACUGGCAACAUGGCGACGUAAACAAAAGUCACGUGAUUUUAGGACGUAGCUGCACGAGCUCAAUAGACCCAUCUUAAAUCUCCCGUUCAUAGCCAAGAUUCAUGAGAAAGCCAUUUCUUGAAUUAAAUGGACUUUUUUACAGUACAGUACAGUACAGAAGCGGCCGGGCUCACAGUUCUGAGGACCCGGGUUCGAUCCCAGCCCCGCCUCUGUGGAGUUAGCAUGUUCUCCCCCGUGCCUGCGUGGGUUUUCUCCGGGCACUCCGGUUUCCUCCCACAUCCCAAAAACAUGCGACAUUAAUUGGACACUCUAAAUUGCCCCUAGGUGUGAUUGUGAGUGCGACUAUUUGUUUCCAUGCGCUCUAUGAUUGACUGGAUCAUUUAGCCACAGUCACAAUCCCACCUAGGGGCAAUUUAGAGUGUCCAAUUUAUGUCGCAUGUUUUUGGAAUGUGGGAGGAAACCGGAGUGCCCGGAGGAAACCCGCGCAGGCACGGGGAGAACAUGCAAACUCCACACAGGCGGGUCCAGGAUUGCAAUAACAUAUGGGGUCCCUCACGGAUCAGUUCUUGAACACCUCCUGUUCAGCAUGUAUGGGGCGAAUUCUUUCGAACUUUAAUGUUCACCAUCAUGCCUAUGCAGAUGACACACAAUUAUAUCGAGCAGUGUCUCCAGAUUUUUCCACUGUUUGAUUUCUUUGUAUUCAAAUGCUUUUAAUCAUGUCAAGCACAUUGAGUUACCCUGUGCAUGAAAUGUACUAUAUAAAAAUAAACUUGCUUUGCUUUUACGAAUUGUACUGGGAAUAGUGUACUCUUCUGUAUUGUCUUGUCAGUUCUGCACUAAGUUGCUGUUUUGACACUAAAGCAGUAAGUUAUUGGUUCAUGUUGAUGUAACUUGUGCGGUGUACAUUAUCAAGUAAUGGGCACAGUUAAGCAUUUUUUUUCCUGUGGAUAAGUAAAAUUCACUUGACAGCUGUUGUUCUGAGAACUGCAACAAUAAAACUAACACCAAACUGCACCGACGAAGGAAAAAAAAAGAUCAACAAAACAACGCUGCUAUCAAUAAAUCUGUUAACGCUACAAUGCCUUUUUUUGCGUUUAUUUUUUAUAUGGAAGCAUCUGAUGGUGACCUGGCCUGGCUGUCACAUUUUAAGUCCAUUGUAGCCCGUGACGCAAAAAGUUUGCACACCACUGGGCAUCGUAUAUGAGGAAAUUCAAAAUUAGUGUCAGUUCAGAUGGAGCCCAUCACUACGGAGUAAAAUUAUCCUAAACUGGUUACCGGGCAAUGUAAGGCACAAAUUGGCAAACAAUUCAUACUUGUACCAAAGAACAAUUUGAGAUUAUUCAAAUGAACCAAAGUUGGGUGGCGGAGAAAACCUAGACACAGCACAGAGGGAACACGGUACCUGGAUCCAGGAAGGCCGCAGGCUGGAUUUGAACCCUGAACCUCAGAAGAGUAAGACGGAUGUGUUUUUUUUUAUUUUAUUUUAGCAUGACAAUAGAUUUUAUUAUUGAACUUAAUUUUCACUGAAAUGCUGGUGAGGACUUAAUGACAAAAUUAAUCAUUUAUUUUGCGCUUCAGCUAUCAUGACAAAAAUUUAUUUCUAAAUUGAGCCGCUCAAUUGCACUUCAUUUCAGACCAAUAGCAGAAGGAGGAUUCACUUGAGUACUCACCAAUACCAGUUAUGCUUUUGAUACAUAUGUAUCCAUCUAUCCAUCGCAGGUGUCCUGGACCCUAUCUCAGCUACAAUAAACGGAACAAAGGAAAAUACUCUUUCUUUCUCACUACUAUAGCACAAUAACUACUAGUGCGGAAGACGUAUUCAUUCUCUGAUUUUUCACGAGCACACGAAACCUUGAAGUAAAAGGCUUGUAGCAGAAGGAUACUAAAACCUGGUAUUGGUGGGUUUUUUUUUUUUUUUAAUAUUAUAGUCUGUGCACAUGCAGCUUUGGUAUUGCUUGUACAGUGUGUUAAAAAAAAAAAAAACCAAAAAAAAAGAAGAUAUCUGGAAGUACCAGUGCUGAUGAAUG